Molecule: long non-coding RNA, 735 nt
Filed under: Rattus norvegicus (Norway rat)
Lineage: Eukaryota; Metazoa; Chordata; Mammalia; Rodentia; Muridae
Description: long non-coding RNA NONRATT025977
Source: RNAcentral
GUAAAAGAAGAACGUCCAGAAAAAGUACCAGAUUUAAAAUUACUGGUGGAGAAGAAAUUUUUGGCUUUACAGGAUAAGAACUCUGACGCCGACUUUAAAGAGAAUGAAAAGUUCGUGCAGUUUAAGCAGCAGCUGCGGGAGCUGAAGAAGCAAUGUAAGUCAGCCGCUUUGCUUUGGCCUCUUGAGAUGAGGGGCCUGGCUGUGAGCAGCCCAGGAACACGGUUCUGCAGUGUCCGCUUCUCUGCUUGCUCCAUCGCUGCCUGAAUGGCUUGUCUUGUUGCAGUGUCGUGUUUGUCUAAUACUGGUUCCAGUUGCUUGUCCGUUCCUGAGAGCCAACGGUUUCCACAAAGUGUCUCACUGCUGGGGAUGGGAACUGCGAAAACAAAAUAAAACUAAAAACCAUUUUAUUAAGAUAACAAUGGUAAUUCUUUCAAAAUAUAAACUGCUGUGCCAAGCUCUAAAGUACAUUUAUUCCCAUUUGCUGCUGUAGGGCAGCAUUGGUGAGGCUUCCGCAGGGAUUCCUCCCGAAUAGGAUCAAAGUCCCUCUGAUGCUGUACCCUGAGGUACUGUAGAUUCCAUAUGAUUUUUAAAUUGGCUUAAAUGACUAUUAUAGUUAGGGUUUUCACUUGAAAAUGAGAGUGAGGAAAAUAGCUCAUCACACACACGCGCGCACACACACCCCUUACAGAGGUGGUUUUUGUUGUUGAUUUUGGUUUUGUCUUGGCAGCUGUUUAG